GAUGAACGCUGGCUACAGGCUUAACACACGCAAGUCGAGGGGCCGGCGCACGGGUGAGUAACGCGUAUCCAACCUGCCCAUCACUGGGGAAUAACCUUGCGAAAGUAAGACUAAUACCCCAUGGUGAUGGAUGGGGAUGCGUCCGAUUAGCUUGUUGGCGGGGUAACGGCCCACCAAGGCUACGAUCGGUAGGGGUUCUGAGAGGAAGGUCCCCCACAUUGGAACUGAGACACGGUCCAAACUCCUACGGGAGGCAGCAGUGGGGAAUAUUGGUCAAUGGACGGGAGUCUGAACCAGCCAAGUAGCGUGCAGGAUGACGGCCUAUGGGUUGUAAACUGCUUUUAUAGGGGAAUAUGUACCCUAUGAAUAAGGACCGGCUAAUUCCGUGCCAGCAGCCGCGGUAAUACGGAAGGUCCGGGCGUUAUCCGGAUUUAUUGGGUUUAAAGGGAGCGUAGGCCGGAUGUUAAGCGUGUUGUGAAAUGCCGCGGCUCAACCGUGGCACUGCAGCGCGAACUGGCAUUCUUGAGUGCGCACAAGGCAGGCGGAAUUCGUGUGUAGCGGUGAAAUGCUUAGAUAUCACGAAGAACCCCGAUUGCGAAGGCAGCUUGCCGGGGCGUAACUGACGCUGAAGCUCGAAAGCGUGGGUAUCGAACAGGAUUAGAUACCCUGGUAGUCCACGCGGUAAA
This 686-nucleotide ribosomal RNA is filed under the name uncultured bacterium. Its description in RNAcentral is "bacterial SSU rRNA". It matches the Rfam family "Bacterial small subunit ribosomal RNA", at positions 28 to 806 of the family's 1533-position model. The record is from RNAcentral.